RNAcentral lists this ribosomal RNA (305 nucleotides) under uncultured bacterium. Its description in RNAcentral is "bacterial SSU rRNA". It matches the Rfam family "Bacterial small subunit ribosomal RNA", at positions 336 to 659 of the family's 1533-position model. The record is from RNAcentral.
UUCCUACGGGAGGCAGCAGUGGGGAAUAUUGCACAAUGGGGGGAACCCUGAUGCAGCGACGCCGCGUGAGUGAGGAAGUAUUUCGGUAUGUAAAGCUCUAUCAGCAGGGAAGAAAAUGACGGUACCUGACUAAGAAGCCCCGGCUAACUACGUGCCAGCAGCCGCGGUAAUACGUAGGGGGCAAGCGUUAUCCGGAUUUAUUGGGUUUAAAGGGUGCGUAGGCGGAACAUUAAGUCAGCGGUAAAAUCGAGGGGCUCAACCCCUUUAAGCCGUUGAAACUGGUGAUCUUGAGUGGGCGAGAAGUA